CAAUAGCGUAUAUUAAAGUUGUUGCAGUUAAAAAGCUCGUAGUUGGAUUUCGGGGCAGCCUGGCUGGUCCGCCGCAAGGCGAGUACUGGUCAGCCGCCCUUCCUCUCGAAAGCCCCGACUGCUCUUCAUUGCAGUGGUCGGGUAGUUCGGGACGUUUACUUUGAAAAAAUUAGAGUGUUCAAGGCAGGCCUACGCCUGAAUACAUUAGCAUGGAAUAAUGGAAGAGGACCUCGGUCCUAUUUUGUUGGUUUCCAGGGCCGAAGUAAUGAUUAAGAGGGACAGUUGGGGGCAUUCGUAUUUAAUUGUCAGAGGUGAAAUUCUCGGAUUUAUGAAAGACGAACAACUGCGAAAGCAUUUGCCAUGGAUGUUUUCAUUAA
RNAcentral lists this ribosomal RNA (377 nucleotides) under uncultured eukaryote. Its description in RNAcentral is "partial 18S ribosomal RNA". It matches the Rfam family "Eukaryotic small subunit ribosomal RNA", at positions 592 to 976 of the family's 1831-position model. The record is from RNAcentral.